CCGCAUUUCUUCAUAUCACAAGAACAGGAGCCUUGAAAGAGCAGCCUAGUUGAAGAUGGUAUUUCAAAAUGGUAGAUGUUAGACUGCAAUCGAAGAAGCUGCAGCAGCAGGAUUGCUAAGCCACGUAGAAG
Long non-coding RNA from Panicum virgatum (switchgrass), 131 nucleotides. RefSeq lists it as uncharacterized. The record is from RefSeq and is a predicted model, not a curated record. The transcript has 2 exons. Lineage: Eukaryota; Viridiplantae; Streptophyta; Magnoliopsida; Poales; Poaceae.